CCAGACCUCAUACCCCUUCUCUUCUGCCUUUCUUGCACGCAGCCUCCGCCGCCUCAGCGUCCGCCCCUCUCUCUCUCUCUCGCCGCGUCCGCCUCCAGCACUUCUCCUUCCCUUUCCUCUCUCUAGGCCGAGCUCCGGCCCUGCGUCGCCCCCUCCUCCUUGACCGUCUCGUUCCUUGGAGAAAGAGCACGGGACCGUCGAUGAGCCUGAGCCGCCACAAGGAUUUCGGGUGGAGGGGAUCCGGUGCGGACGCGCACGUCUCGGCCUGUAGCCGGAGCGGCAGGUGUCGGUGGCGGGGAUGGUCGACGGGGAGAAGGCCCCACCCCUGAUGGGUUGAGGAUGAUGACUACGACUUCAGGAUCUUGACCUUACAAGACCUGCAGCCCCAAGGAAUCCUCCAAGACCUCAGUUUGAAACAUCUACAAAGGAGGUUUUAAGGAAAGCCGAUUUUAGGGUGAGUAAAUCUGCUUGGUAACAAAUGUAAACUGGCUACUGUUUUUCUGUAAAAUGAAAUGGUAGAUUUGAUAGUACUUUGGCUGCUUGUAUACUCUAGAACUGUUAGCCAGUGUAGAGUUCAGGGAUACAAUGCCUAUGGUAAGCCCCAAAUGCCCCUUCUUUCGUGAUUAAAUUGGUGCUAACUUUUCCAAAUAUCUAGUGAGACUACCCUAAGCUUGUGAGGAUUCUAGCAUUUUCUAUUGAUGCUUGACCUUGACCAACGCACGACAGAGAACGCGCUGGUAUAUAGCAAGGGCACUGCCAGCCUAACCCCCGUUGUAGCUGAGGUAAACAAUGCCUCCUAUCCUUACAGUUGUAGUUUUGAUUCGAUGAGCACUGGUUUGUGCGGUUCCUGCGGCUAGGGUUUGAUUUCAAGAUGGAAAGUGUUGAUUUCCUGCGAGUGCCAUAUACAUGUAUUGUUUAUUCGGCAUUGAAAGUUAAAGAAAACACUUGUUUGAUUGGUUCAUUGCAGCUUGACAAUUGUUGAGAUUUGUUAAUUCAGUUAGAAAGCUUUAGUUUGAGUCUGCACCACAAUUCCUAACAAUUCAUUGAAGGUCUUACUUUGUUUUAUCCUUUUCGGUUGCUUCAUCUUCAGUGAGUUCCAAGAUAUAUUUGAUAACUAUUAAUAGAUGUAGAUGUUGCAGGUGCUUAUGCCAGGUGCUUAAGGAAAAAAGACUAGCAUUGCAUCGCUAAUAAACGUGGUCUCGCAAUGGGGAGGUGCUAAUCAGAGGUGCCUCAGUUGGUUUGACGUAGGCACCGGGUGAAGCACCCGUGACUUUUCGGGAGCGGUUAUUUCUUCGAAGCACCGGCUGGCACUGGAAGUAAAUGUUUGCUUCUCCCCCCCUUUCUAAGCACCCAUGCAGUCCAAUCUUGAAAAAAAAACGGUUUUUUUUUCUCUGGCACCUGUCUAAGCACCUGCCGUUGUACAGGGCCUUAGUAUCCAGUGCUUUCAUUUCCACACCGGUACUGAAUUAUUCUAUACUAAAUUUAGGAUUUAUUUUUCAGUUACACCAUGUAUUUGUUUUUUCACUUCCUACCGUUGCUGAACUCUUUUGCUUGGCCAUGAGAAGGGCAGUGGGUGAAAAUGUUGGCUUAGAAAUUUAGAACAUCAAAGAAGUGGUCGGGGGUCUGGUCGUGUUAGGUAAACACUGUACAGAGUCAGUCUGGCACUCCUGUACAUCAAGAAUUAGCUGAACCUUUCAGCAGUAGCACAUUUCUGUAUAUGAAUUUGUGUUCGCAUAUGUUGAUCCUCUUUUAAUAUUGUAGGACCUGCCAAAUUUAGUUGCAAGUAAAGAUGCAGAUUUUUCAUAUAUAGAUGCUGUUUUUUGUUGCUUGCCACAUGUAACAACACAUGUUCGUAGCUUCAUCAUGCUUUUUCUGAGUUUCUUUUCUAUCAAUUGCUGAACUUAUGAAGGAAUCCAGUUAUAUGCUCUGCUCUCAAUUGGAAGAUAAGAUUUCGUAUCGAACACACUUAGAGCAAUGUCUGAUUGCAAGUUUUUUAUCAGGAAAUUAUUAAAGGCUUAUCCCAACAACUGGAGAUUGUUGGUCCCUUUGCGGUAUGCUCUACACAAACACAUGCUUUACCUAUGUUGGUAUCACUUUGGUUGCUAUUAAACAACCAAUCUUUCAGACUUACCAUGCUCGUAGGAUUUUUGAUUGCGUGGCAUCAAUGAGUAUGCUGAGUGGUAUGGCCAUGCUCAUAGGGCACCGAAACUUCAGCUGUUCUUGACUACUAUACCCUACAGACUUGUUAAUAUACCAGCCAUUGGUUACACAAAUUUUGAAGUUACUCAGUUCUGAAGAUCCAGUUUCGGUGUUUGAUUACCAACUUGGAUUCCUAUUGAGAUGUUACACUGGAACAUCUGCAUCUUUACAUUACCUUUGGAGCUUGGAUUAGAUUCCAGUGUAGCCUAUGAUGUCUUUUACUCCUCUUGUAUCAUUAUGUUUGUUUAUUGUGAACUCAUAAGAGGCUAUAUAUGGUUUGACGGACGUUCUUGGAGAUGAAAUAAGAGAUGUGCGGCUUGUUGCCAACCCCCGCGUCUAUUCAGCACCCUCUUGUUCCUCUAAUUAAGGUGAAAAUCAAUAAAACUUAUUAGUCUUCCCAGAUCAAAGCAACAAGUGUUUAGACUCAAUAGCCCUCACUUGUGAACCAUCUGUUUUGUUUUUGUAAUAUCCUUUUUUUAUCCAAUAAGAGGUUGUUAUUCAUGUUAUUAUUAUUUAUUCACCUGCAUUGGAUGGUUAUGCAGUAAGACAGUAACAUGCUUCUGUGAGCAAACAUUGAUGUUACAACAGUGCAUGUAAAUAUCAUUUCUUUUAUUUAAAAUUCCACACCCAAUUCAUAUGAGAGUAUCUUGAGAAGAUCAGUUCUGCCACUGCUGCUGUUGUAGACAGAAUUGGAUGAGCUCUUCCUUUAGUUGCUGCUACUUUUAGCCCUCAUUUCCUUGAGAACAUGUUCAAAGUAUAGAUAAGAAAAUUACGUGGCUAUAGAAGGAUAUAUUUCAUUCAAUAGAACACCAAAGAAAAAUAACUUUGAAAUCUAUAUAUUUUAUUGACUGUGCACCUCUUCCAUCUACCAAAUAACUUCUGUGAGGUCAUCCUGAUCAGAAGUUUAUACAACUUCCCUUCUUUGAAGCUUCUUUUCAUUCCCUUGCUCUCCUCUCUUAUAUGAAUACCUGUUAGGCCGUAAUAUUACCAUGUGCUAAGAUUUUUUUCCUCUGUGUUGGAUUUGGUUACAAGAUCAAGGGAUAGAAAAAAUGAAUAUCGGUGUGCUGCACAACAAUGGAACCUUUUCUUUUUUUUAGUGUGACUAUUCUGUAUUUUGUUUGCUUCGUCCAACAACGGCGUUGACUGGACAAGCCAAUGAAGGAAGGUAGGUUAUCCCUUUGUGUUUACAUUCUUAUGUCUCUCCAGAUGCUCUAUUCUCAAUCAAUUGAAUGAUUAUGUUAGUCCUGCAGUUGUAAUCAAUCCCCGGGAAAAAAGCAACUAGAGCAAUCAAUAAUGCGGGACUACGUCUGCUUCAUGCUCUACAGGGUGUCGGAUGGCUGUCCUAAGCAGAGGGUCGGUGUUGUGAACAUAUAGGCAGGAGGCGCCAUGACGCAGGCCUUUAAUUUGCACGAGCUGAAGCUGCGAACACCUUCAUAUCCUGAUCAUCUGAAAAUCUUUCUUAGUUGCUAUAGUACUCUAUUUCAUGAGGUACUUUUAAUUUUAUCCGAACUUCUAUAAAUGGUUGGUGGUUGGUUCAUUUAUCCACCCAUUAGGUCCUCUCACAUUUUUUUUCUUCUGAAUUUUUUUAAAAAGUGUUCGUAGUAUGUAUGUUGUCCAUCUUAUUGUUUCUCCCAAAUGUUUAUUAGAACUCAAGUUGUUUUCGCUUACCGUGUCGUAAUCUGGUGUUGGAUAGGUUCCAUUAUUGAUUGAUUUUCAGCACCAAUCUGCAAAGAACCAAUUGGUGGCCACAUCUGAGUCCUUCGCCGUGGCAUGGACAAGACGCCCUGCCGGAGCAGGGUGUGGAUGAGUCGGUGGCUCCGGUCACGCACACCGGCUGGUACUGCUCUGGCGAGCCACCGCUGCCCUUGCCCGUCUCGAUAUCGCUUGGCAUCUACUUUAGGUGAGGGUGCUGGACGUAGAGAAGGGGAGAAAAAACUGUGGACGCUCUUGCUAGAGCUGUAAUUAUGCACAUCCGAAAAGCAGCUAAGCUGCAGUUUGUCUGUACUGUGCUACAGACGAGAUUCAUUUGCAUUGCCUGUCAUGCAUUUCUCUUUACUUUUCA
This is a long non-coding RNA of Triticum aestivum (bread wheat), 4261 nucleotides long. RefSeq lists it as uncharacterized. The record is from RefSeq and is a predicted model, not a curated record. The transcript is spliced from 3 exons. Lineage: Eukaryota; Viridiplantae; Streptophyta; Magnoliopsida; Poales; Poaceae.